Molecule: long non-coding RNA, 3995 nt
Filed under: Triticum aestivum (bread wheat)
Lineage: Eukaryota; Viridiplantae; Streptophyta; Magnoliopsida; Poales; Poaceae
Description: long non-coding RNA (TAES_LNC025931)
Source: RNAcentral
GUCUGGUUUCAGGUGUGUGCUGCACCUGAAAAAAAUUCUCGGGUUGUCUCUCUUUCAGGUGUAUUUCUCGGGUUUCUAAUUUUCUGUUCUCAUGUAUAACUUUAUAUAGACAGGCAAUGGCCUUGCAUUAUAUAUAUACACUAAAGGCGUAUGAAGAAACUCCUUUUAGAGCAUACUUUGAUUGCUUAUUUUGGUCAAUGAGAAGAGGUGAAUGAUAUUGUACAUAAUUUUCAACCCAAAGGUAUAAUAAUGCAAUGCAUAAAAAGAUCUACUUCCUAUAUAUGGUGCAGUUUCAACUAUGUCAAAAAACGUGCAGGUACUCACCAUCUGUGUUGGCCUAUCAUACAAAAUUAAGGGUCAGGUUCGAUGUAUAUAGGGACUUCUACAACCAACGGAUAUUAUAUAUAGGGACUGCUACAACCCACGAGCAUUACAUUAUAGAUGGAGUUUUAAUAUCUUCUUUUUUCAUAUUUCAUACAAAUUAAAAUCUUUGUUGCACCUUUUAUUGAGAAAUCAGAUUCUGUAGUUGCUUAGAAAAAGCAUAAGCAUCACUUAUUCAUUUUUAGAUUCUAUGCUUGGUGAACGUAUACCAACUCCUUUUUUUAUCGUAUAUGCUUCUCGAUGCUAAAAAUUACAAGUUAUGUUUCUUUUUCGGAAACAGAUUUUGAAAAAAAAAUGUGAGUAACAAGAGUGUGUUACUGUCUGGAUGUAUUAAGAAAUUGUGGGCACUAAUCAAAAGUUUGUUACUGAAAUCAUGACGCCAUUUGCUUAAUCAUUGUGGAAAAUGGUUCUUCUGCAAUUAAAAAUAAUUGUCAGCAGCGACUAUGCAGGUAUGGACUUUGCAUGAGAAGCACAUAUGAGUAUGCCGACAUGGACCAUAUCAGGUCAUUGCCCCUAUUCUUUCCACAUCUUCUAUGUCAUGUUUCAAUUCAUUGUUUUCCAUAUUGCUCAUGUUUGUAGCCUUUCUGUUAGGCACUUAUCCAUUGACAACUUAUCAUGCUUCUAUUAAUUGAUGAUCUCUUCGCAUCGCAGUAGCACACUGAGCUCUAUGUUAUUUUGUCCUGUUUUCUUCAAGGUCCUUUGCAGGUUCCUUGUGCAAAGCUUGCUGAUUGUCAAUGUGAUUAGAGGGCCCCGGGCCAGUGGUCGGAUGAUGCAUGACAAACAGCAAGGUGAAGAUCCAUAAAGCCCUACGUUGUUCUUUUGCUCACUGGUGAGUUUACUACUUUCUCGUCGCAUGCCAAGUAGCCGAGUAGGCACUUUUUCGUAGAUUGGUUGUUCAGUUUCAUAUGCUGAACUGCAUUGUCGAGUGAAGUGUCAUUGCAACAGCAGAGUUGAAACAUCCUUAAAAGUAUGUCUCAGAUUUAAGAAUGUGGUUGCAAUGGCCAGGUAGCAGGCUUUACAUCAUCCUAACAAUUAUAGCAGAUGGGUUGUAGUUUUAAGAUGUGUAGGAAAGGGCACUAGCCUAGGAUUGGUUACUACAGUAGGAAAAUGCACUAGCCUAGGAUUGGUUGCUGCAGUGCUUACCUGGGCUUCUGAGUAGCGAGUACCUCAGCUGAUUCAAGAACAACUUCUUCAUGUGUAAUGCAUACCGUAUUCUUGCUAUAAUCUGAUCUGAGCUCAAUUUUUGCAAAAUUCCAUGUAAAUGCGAUAAAAGAUCUUGCUUACAGACUAAUUGAUCAAUGUAAGUCGUGUUGUGUAAUAGUGAUUGCUACAGAUAGUAAAGAACAGAGUAAGCAAUAAAUCAAUUUGCAAGGUUUUUGUAGGAAGUACCUUCUAGGGAGUAAAAAAGUGUAAAUAUCAUUUGAUUUAUGUAGAAGUUGAGAAGUAAAUAUGGCGAUCUGGUAAAGUCGAUUUGGGAAAGCGGGUGUACAGUGUCUAUAAAUUGAGAUUCUAUUUUGAUUUAGUGCAUGCUUAGGGAAGUACUGAACGCACCUCUCUGGCAAGUGCACGCACAAGGGUGCCCUUUUUUACUCAAUCAAUUUCAAAACAAGUGCUAUACUUCUAUUGGGAGACUGCCAUACUAUUUUGUUGCAUUGUGUAAAGAUAUGUGGUGUGAGGGGAAGGAGAAAUGUGGCAGCUCAUAUUUUAAAGUGAUGGCUGAGCUCACAAUGCAGCCAUUAUUUGGGCAAGUAUUCUUAAAACAGGAAUUGCACGCAGUUUAACUGAUAUAUGGUUGGUGAAUCACUGUCAGUAAAAUAGAUCUAGCAAACGGUGAAAUCAUGGUAAUGUAGAUAGCUGAUAUUAGUAAAGUUGAAGUUGAUUACCCCUGGUAUGAAGAUCUCCAUGUCCUUGUGGGCGUGGUGGGUCAGUAGUGAGGGCCUGGGGGCAGCUCUCUUCCACCAUGUACGCUGAACGCAUUCCAUCUGAAACAAAAUUGAGUGUGUGCUUAGAGCAGGUAAUACAAUGGUGGCUGCCCAGCUGUUUGGUUGCCGGGUCCAUGUAUUGCUGGAUUGAUGCACUUCCUUGAGCUCUGUGCGGUGGGUGCACAGAUCCAAUAUCCUCCUGUCAAAGGUGGUGAAUCUGCCCUUCUCCACAGUGCACGGCGCCCUCCACAACAAAUGGAGCACGGAAGUGGCAUCUCUACAAAAACCAGAGCCUAAACCAACGACAUUGUUGCUCGAGAAAAAUCAUACCGAACCCAGCCCAAGACAACAAACAAGAAAUCUAAUACCAGAGGAAACAAUACAAACCAGAUCACACGCAGCGCAGAGCAGUAGAUCGAGCAGACGAAAGGGCGAGAUGGAUGACUAGAACAACAGUGGUGCAGAUUGCAUGGAUGACGAAGCAACGCCCAGGCAGCAGCCGCGGAAGAGCACCGGCAGCCGGGACAUCACGACGACGGAGAUCCUACAAGCAUAGCAAGGAACAGAGGCGUACCCAGCACCACACAAAUCGCCAAUCUCCUCUGUCCAGAGCUGCAUUGAGUGGCUGACCCGGUUAGAGGACACGCACACAGCCAAACCCACAUACACGAGACACACGUGGCUUGGACCAGCGGAAGACUGGCACAUGCGUCCACCCGUUCCACCUGUGAACGUUGUGGCCCACCAGGAAAAAAGCAUGUCUGAGCGCUCACGGGUCCUAGCCAUCUUUUCCCACGGACUUUUCCUUUUCUUUUUUAAGGGUCUACAUUCUCUUUUCUUUUUUAGCCAAGGGUCUAUAUUAUCGGGAAGGUUUUAUUCGCAGAAACAAGUGUGAUGACCGGUCAAAUCGCUUCCUUUUUUCUGGAUUGGUCAUUUCAGUACGAUUGUUUAUACACUGCCGACAUCAUUUUGCUUCUUCUUGCUUGCUAUUUCAUUUAUUUCCUCCAGCAAGUGGAUGGCUAUUUCCAUUGCUUCAGGUUUUGUUUUGGCUCUAAUUGUGUGUAUGGCAUCUUGGCCUUCUUAGGUGAAGCAGUUAUGAAUAUUCUCGCUGAUCUAUGGAUCUAUCAUUGCAUGAGUCGAUGAUAUAUGGUGAGCUGCCUCACACCAUCAUUUGGUCUUUGUAGCAUUUGAGUUGGCAAAUUUGUUGGAUUCAUGCGAUUAGGCAUGGUAAGUGCUCAGAGACCCAUAGCUCUAUAAUUGUUUGCUUCCAAAAGUUCUGAAUAUUUUCUGCGCUUGGUCAUCUCAUUGGUGAGAGUAGCCAUGUAAAUCAAUCUGCUAUGGGAAAUGGGAGUUUGCAAACUACCGGAUUCUAAUUGCUGAGGGACGAGGUUCAUAACUGAGGGUCAUGUGCAGAGCUGGAGGAAGAAGUUGCGAGGCUUGGAACUCUCCUUGUGAAGGGCUCAGGGACAGCAGUGAGGACAAUGCCUCUUUUGUUGUAAUUGUGAUACUCCUGAUGUGCAAGUAAUCACUCCUGUGAUACUCCUUAUGCUAAAAUGUUGGUUGUUAGUACAGAGGUAUUGACAUUAUUUGGUUCUCUGGUAUUGAUUUCAUGAUUUGUGGUUAAUAAAUGAUGUAAUACAAUCCACAUUGCAUUAUAUUUCCAGUUACAUCUCGUGCUUACUCACUAAUAAC